GACGAACGCUGGCGGCGGGCUUAACACAUGCAAGUCGAACGAGGUCCAUCUUGUAGCAAUACAAGUGAAGACCUAGUGGCGAACGGGCGAGGAACACGUGAGAAAUUUGCCCCGAACUUUGGGAUAACAGUUGGAAACGACUGCUAAUACCGAAUGCCGUUACGAAGUGGCAUCACUUUGUAACGAAAGAAUUUCGGUUCGGGAGAAUCUCGCGGCCUAUCAGCUUGUUGGUGAGGUAACGGCUCACCAAGGCUACGACGGGUAGCUGGUCUGAGAGGAUGAUCAGCCACACUGGGACUGAGACACGGCCCAGACUCCUACGGGAGGCAGCAGUGGGGAAUCUUGUGCAAUGGACGAAAGUCUGACACAGCCACGCCGCGUGCGGGAAGAAGGCCUUCGGGUUGUAAACCGCUUUCAGCAGGAACGAAAAUGACGGUACCUGCAGAAGAAGGAGCGGCCAACUACGUGCCAGCAGCCGCGGUGACACGUAGGCUCCAAGCGUUGUCCGGAUUUAUUGGGCGUAAAGAGCUCGUAGGUGGUUUGAUACGUCGGGUGUGAAAUUCAGGGGCUCAACCCCUGACCUGCAUUCGAUACGGUCAAGCUAGAGUUUGGUAGGGGAGACUGGAAUUCCUGGUGUAGCGGUGGAAUGCGCAGAUAUCAGGAGGAACACCGAUGGCGAAGGCAGGUCUCUGGGCCAAUACUGACACUGAGGAGCGAAAGCGUGGGGAGCGAACAGGAUUAGAUACCCUGGUAGUCCACGCGUAAACGGUGGGCGCUAGUUGUGCGAACCUUCCACGGUUUGUGCGACGCAGCUAACGCAUUAAGCGCCCCGCCUGGGGAGUACGAUCGCAAGAUUAAAACUCAAAGGAAUUGGCGGGGCCCCGCACAAGCAGCGGAGCAUGCGGCUUAAUUCGACGCAACGCGAAGAACCUUACCAAGGCUUGACAUAUACAGGAAUACGGCAGAAAUGUCGUAGCGGUUAAACGUCUGUAUACAGGUGGUGCAUGGUUGUCGUCAGCUCGUGUCGUGAGAUGUUGGGUUAAGUCCCGCAACGAGCGCAACCCUCGUUCUGUGUUGCCAGCAUUUAGUUGGGGACUCACAGGAGACUGCCGGGGUUAACUCGGAGGAAGGUGGGGAUGACGUCAAAUCAUCAUGCCCCUUAUGUCUUGGGCUGCACGCAUGCUACAAUGGCUGGUACAAAGGGCUGCAAUACUGCAAAGUGGAGCGAAUCCCAAAAAGCCAGUCUCAGUUCGGAUUGGGGUCUGCAACUCGACCCCAUGAAGUCGGAGUUGCUAGUAAUCGUAGAUCAGCAACGCUACGGUGAAUACGUUCCCGGGGCUUGUACACACCGCCCGUCACAUCACGAAAGUCGGUAACACCCGAAGUCAGUGGCCCAACCGCAAGGAGGGAGCUGCCGAAGGUGGGAUCGGUGAUUGGGAUG
This 1441-nucleotide ribosomal RNA is filed under the name uncultured Actinomycetales bacterium. RNAcentral's name for it is "partial 16S ribosomal RNA". It matches the Rfam family "Bacterial small subunit ribosomal RNA". The record is from RNAcentral. Lineage: Bacteria; Bacillati; Actinomycetota; Actinomycetes; Actinomycetales.